Mobula hypostoma (lesser devil ray) is the source of this 921-nucleotide long non-coding RNA. RefSeq lists it as uncharacterized. The record is from RefSeq and is a predicted model, not a curated record. NCBI's taxonomy places the organism in Eukaryota, Metazoa, Chordata, Chondrichthyes, Myliobatiformes, Myliobatidae. The transcript has 4 exons.
UGGCGUCAUAAUCCAAUUUGAAGAGCGCUAACAAUGUGAAAGCAGAUUACACGGAUUCCUACUCAAGCAUCAACAUAAUACUUGAUUUUGAAAAAAGGAACAAAAUGACAAAAUAGCAAUAGUAAAGUGAAAGAACUGCUUCUGACAUGAGUCAGGUAUUCUCGAUUCACUCCAUGAGGUCUAUAGAACGGUGAAAUGCCUAAAUACAAAAAGGAAACACGUUUUGGCCAUUUCAAAAUUUUUUUUUAACUGAAGAUAAUUGUAUCUCCGCCAGUGCAAGCGGUUAUCUUAACACUUACGCAGGGAGUUAUUUUGGCUUUUACUCGGAGGCUGUCUUCAUGCUCACAUCUCGAUUGGCAGCAGCAUCGUGAUCUUUAAUUUGUUGCCGACAAAUAACUUUAUGUCGCGUCGUGAAAUUUUGCGUUUCCAACGAUAAUAUCGGCAAUUUCAGGGUCAUCUUUCCAUUCUGAGCCUGUGCCCUUUGGUCCUAGACUCUGCUACUAUUGGAAACAUCCUUUAUAUGACGACUCUAUCAACGCCUUUCAGCAUUUGAUGUCACGUGAACAAGUGCUGCUGUGUGACUGUCAUCAUUCCCCAACAAAGAAGUGCACUUAGCCUCCAGAGACAAGACUACGUUCUCCAGACUCAAAAGAGAAUGUGGAGAUGGACUUCUCACUCUUUGUCAUUAACAGUCAUAUGAGCCACGUCUGAAAGUUUACCAAACCAUUUUUCUGUACAUCAGCAACACACUUAUUGAUAAUAAAAGAACUUAAGGAGUUUAGCUUUACUUGUCACGUGUACAUGAAAGCAUACAAUGAAAAGCAUAAUUUUGCGUCAAUAGCCAACACAGUCCAAAGAUGGUGCUGGAGGCAGCCUGCAAGUGUUGCCACUCCUCUGGUGCCAACAAAACAUGCCCACAAC